UACAGAUGGGACAAAGAAUCUGAGAAGGCCAGAAGCCAAAAGCAAGAAGGCCAGAAGCAAUGAGGAGGCCACUACAAUCAUGGAGAAGGAGAUGACAGUGACCUGGACUUUGCUGAUGGCAGAGCUUUAGAGAAAAAAAGAUGGAUCUGAGAGCUAUUAAGGAGUUGGAACUGCUCGGAUUUCAUGAUUUAUUAGGGGUGAGAAAUGAGGAAGAACAAGGAAUGAGCCCAGGUCCAGGUUCUGGCUUGGACAAGUCGGUGUCACUCACUGAGAUAAGGCUCACAGGAAAGGCAGGUUGAGGAAGGAGAGAAUGAAUUCAGCUUAGAAGAUGUUGAUUUUGGGGUACCUGUGGGAAGAAAAGCAAGAAAGAAGCUUGAUGAAGAACAGAAAGGAGAGAAGGAUAAAGUACAAGAUGCCACAAAGAGGUCAAUUCAACAAAUAUUUAUUGAGUACCUACUAUGUACCAGGGCUCAGCCACCAUGGAAGAAAGCUUGGGUUCAAAUAUUGAUGAAAGAUCACGUGGAGAAAGAGGUCUAUUUUCCAACUAUCCCUGCUGAGAUCCCAAACAUGACGAUGACACCAUCUUGACUCCUCAGCUCCAGGAGACCCAGCAGAUGAACCUCAUGAGCUCCAUGAGGAAGUCUGGCCAAGAAUAGAAGAGGAACUUCCCAGCCAACCCACAGAAUCAUGAGAAACAGUAUAUAUCUUCCUUGACUUAUAACAGAGUUACUCCUAAUAAAACCUAUUGUAAGUUGAAAGUA
Canis lupus familiaris (dog) is the source of this 761-nucleotide long non-coding RNA. RefSeq lists it as uncharacterized. The transcript is spliced from 2 exons. Lineage: Eukaryota; Metazoa; Chordata; Mammalia; Carnivora; Canidae. The record is from RefSeq and is a predicted model, not a curated record.